UUUGCCUGCCCAAUCUAAUAUUUAAUGUUGAAUGACUUGGCUUACAUGUUGCCUCUAGGUCACUACUCUCCAUGAUAGAAUCUGCAAAUUAUUUAGCACCAGACACUGGAUGCACUGCAUAGCCCACCUCAAAAAUCGACAGGGCACGGCAGUACUCCCACAUAUGCACUCACACUUUGUAGCAGAACAAUGAAAGCAUCCCUCCU
This is a non-coding RNA of Pelobates cultripes (western spadefoot toad), 206 nucleotides long. The record is from the annotation of a GenBank genome assembly. Lineage: Eukaryota; Metazoa; Chordata; Amphibia; Anura; Pelobatidae.